UCGACGAAACGCGCGAACGCCGAACGGUUGUUGAAGAUAUUGAUGUACAGUGUGCGUGGUCGGAAACGUCUUAUUUGACGGAACUUAAUUGAGUAUGGACUGAGUUUUUCCACACUUCAAACGCGGCGGAAUCGGGUACAGAGGUGCUGGAGGAUGCUUUACUCGCGGGUACAGUGCGUGACCUUAACAACAAACCUGUGUCCAGGUCAGAACCCAAACUGCCUGCUUGACGAUGAACACGGAUGAUGCAAUAAAAGUCUUCAUUUACAACAAAGGAAGAUGACAGCAGAAGUAUUUCUCAUUACUGUGUUUUCAACCAACCAAUCAGUGAAUUCCCAUCUUCUACUGGCCAUGAGGAAGAACUCUAUCAUGCACACAGUGAAUAGAGCUCAGUGCUGCUAACUGGGAGAACAGCUGGAAAACUGGAGGAGGAGAACAUUUGAACAUACAGACAACUGUAUUAUUUUUCUGCAAGAACCACAACAAGCAAAGACGAUGAGCACUCUGAACAAACAACAGUCAGACGCUUAAUUAUGCACUGCACUUUACUGAGUUCUACAACAUGUGAUGUUGAGUUAGAUUUUGAUUUUUUUUUUUUCAGGUUAAUAAAAUUAUAUGUUUUAAGAAUGUAAUGGCUAAGAAUUUUGAGUGUUUUUUUUAAGAAUGUUAGGGAAUUAUGUUCUAACAAUGUUAUCACUAAACAUUUUUAGAAUGUUUUUAAAGAAUGUUAAACUGUCUUUUGAGAGAAUAUUCUGGGAACAAAAACAAAACUACCCGCUAAAACAUUGUAAGAAUGUUACAGCAUACUGUUUUAACAAUGUUGUCACUAAACAAUUUUAGAAUUAUUUUAGAGAAUGUUAUCAUAUCUUAUAGGAAAAUGUUCUGGGAACAAAAAUAAAACUACCUGCUAAAAACUUUAUAAGAAUGUUAUAGCAUACUGUUUUAACAAUGUUUUCACUAAACAUUUUAAGAAUGUUUUAAGAGAAUGUUAUCCUAACUUUUGAGAGAAUGUCCUGGGAACAAAAAUAAAACUACCUGCUUAAAACUUUGUAAGAUGGUUAUGGAUUGAUGUUCUAACAAUGUUAUCACUAAACAUUUUCAGAAUGUUUUUAGAGAAUGUUAUCUAACUUUUUGAGAGCACGUUCUGGGAACAAAAAUAAAACUACCCGCUAAAAACUUUGUAAGAAUGUUAUCACUAAACAUUUUCAGAAUGUUUUUAGAGAAUGUUAUCCUAACUUUUGAGAGAACAUUCUGGGAACCAAAAUAAAACUACCCGCUAAAAACUUUGUAAGAAUGUUAGGGAAUGAUGUUCUAACAAUGUUAUCACUAAACAUUUUUAGAAUGUUUUUAAAGAAUGUUAAACUGUCUUUUGAGAGAAUAUUCUGGGAACAAAAACAAAACUACCCGCUAAAACAUUGUAAGAAUGUUACAGCAUACUGAUUUAACAAUGUUGUCACUAAACAAUUUUAGAAUUAUUUUAGAGAAUGUUAUCAUAUCUUAUAGGAAAAUGUUCUGGGAACAAAAAUAAAACUACCUGCUAAAAA
This is a long non-coding RNA of Carassius auratus (goldfish), 1544 nucleotides long. RefSeq lists it as uncharacterized. The record is from RefSeq and is a predicted model, not a curated record. NCBI's taxonomy places the organism in Eukaryota, Metazoa, Chordata, Actinopteri, Cypriniformes, Cyprinidae. The transcript has 4 exons.